ACAGCAGUCCCACGGUAAUACAGAGGGUGCGAGCGUUAAUCGGAUUUACUGGGCGUAAAGCGUGCGUAGGCGGCUUCUUAAGUCGGAUGUGAAAUCCCUGAGCUUAACUUAGGAAUUGCAUUCGAUACUGGGAAGCUAGAGUAUGGGAGAGGAUGGUAGAAUUCCAGGUGUAGCGGUGAAAUGCGUAGAGAUCUGGAGGAAUACCGAUGGCGAAGGCAGCCAUCUGGCCUAAUACUGACGCUGAGGUACGAAAGCAUGGGGAGCAAACAGGAUUAGAUACCCGAGUAGUCCCUGUCUCUUAUACC
Molecule: ribosomal RNA, 305 nt
Filed under: uncultured bacterium
Lineage: Bacteria
Description: partial 16S ribosomal RNA
Rfam family: Bacterial small subunit ribosomal RNA
Source: RNAcentral